GAGGCAGUGCUGUGAAGCCCUCCUCCCAACAGUGUGGCACUAUUUAACACGUGACACGCUUGUGAAAACAUCUGCACUGGCUGCCCAUCUGCUACCAAGCCAGUUUCAAGGUCUCUGCAUUGAUUGACAAAGCAGCUUAGGUCCAGGGUACUGCGAGGGUCACCUGAACCCUUAUAUCCCAGCUCAAUCAUUCAGAUCAUCUGCAGCGGGGGUUGUUGGUGAGGUUCAUUUGGCUGCGGCAUCGAACUGAGCCUUUGAUGUCAUCUUCCCAGCUCCUGGAAUGCUCUGCCUUCUAUCCCAGCUCUGAAAACUUUUCUGUUCCUUCAGGCUUAUGCAGGGAAGGAAGAAUGCAUCUUUCCACAGCAGAACGCCAAAGCCUGGCCAAGACGUCUCACGUUUCCUCCUUUGACUCUCCCUCGUCCACCCAGGUGCAGGGAUGGCAAUGGGCAGGUGAGGUCAGUGGGUCAAUGAAACUUCGGAGUUCCCUGUCCUCGCACAAGGAAGCGUGGCUUUUUGGAACAAUGUGUGAGUGUGUCUCUGUGUAUUUCAACACUAGGUUAAAGUGCUGACUGUGGGGCGGGCGGGCUCCACCCUUCGGCGGGGAGGAGACUGGCUCCUCCUGCUGCCCGGCUGAUAUCCUCGGCAGUCGUCCUGUUGACGACCGAACAGGAUGCUAGUCCUGAAGAGCUUCGUGGAACAGGGCUUUUAACAUCAAGAAAGAAGGUGAGGUGGAGAGGCUGGUAUCCUUCCCUGUGCCUGCCUCACCGGCCAGCUCUCUGUGAGUGCUUCUCUGGCAGUGUCUUAGCUGGUUGUUGUGUGCAAUGAUGGAGGAAGCAAUCAGCAAGAAUACUGCUGCAGAAGUGCUACACACUUUCAUCCCUGCUGAGCGUUUCCUCCUGCAGAGCCAAAGCGAAAGGACUCCUAUUCCUGGAAAUGGGAUGGGCCUCUGUUCAUCCCACACCUACUCUGGACAGCUUCUAUGAAACCAGGAGGACUUCAGAAGCUACAGAAAGCAGGUUCAGGGAAAGGAGGGUAGGGUUGUCAGAAGCACCCCAAGACCCUGAGGUUUUAGGACCCAAACCUGAGACCUAGGGGCUUCCCCCCUGGUGGUUAUGGGAGGUGGGGGUUAAUUGGGAGAGGGAAACAGAGGGCAGGCGCCACUCCGAGUUUCUGUGCUAUAAUUCAAGGCCAACUCCUGCCAAGCUGAAGCUUGCAAGCUGCAUGUGCACUCUUCUUAAUAAUUUUGUUAGUACAAUUUUGUCGUUUUCAUUUUAUAGUUAAAGGCACUCUCGCCCACCUGGAGAAUCAAGCCCUCCGACUGCCACCUGGAGGGGACCAGGCAAGCCUAGAGACUUCACAUCUGGAGGUCUGACAACCCUAGCAGAGGGGAAUCAUAGAAUCAUAGAAUUUUGCCCAAUGUGGGGCUUGGACACACGACCCUGAAUUUAGAGUCCCAUGCUCUGCCGACUGAGCUGUGUUGAGACUGGCUGAUUUCUCUGCCAUUAGACUUUAUUGCCCUGCUUCAGCUGCUCAUUCGGAAGUAGCACAGGAGCCCUGCUUGGGAAAAAAGGUGGCAGCCUUCUACAGGAUCUAAGGACAGGAGAGGCUGUGGGCAUGUAGGUGGGGUUAACAUUCAACAUAGGGACUUCAGAAGCUGCCUUAUACCACGUCAGACCAUUGAUCUAUCUAGCUCAGUACUGUCAACACUGACUGGCAGCAGCUCUCCAGAAUUUCCAGCAGUGGGCCUUUGCUCAUCCCUCCCUAGAAGUGUCCUGGAUAAAACCUGGGAUCUUCUGCAUGCAAGGCAGGUGCCUUGCCACUGAAUUAUGACCCCCCUGCUCAAUAGGGUUGCCACCUUUUCUUUUGUCCCGGCUCCUGUGCCUUUCAACAGCAACCUGAACACAAAGAAAUUAAGCUAGGGGAACCCUUGCCCACCACUUCUGUUUGUGUCAGUAAAAAAAAAAGUUAGCAAGCGUCAGCAUAUCAAUCAAGCUGAUGCUAAAUGCACAGGAGCGGGGUGGUGGGGUGGAGUUGGCAACCAAAGCCAUGUUUCUGGGUGAGAGGAACUAGUUCUACUCAGAGCAAACCCAUUAAAAUUAAUGGAGAUAACUAACUUAGGGCCAUUAAUUUCAGUAGGUGAUUAGCACUUAAUUGGAUACAACACUACAAUUUUGACAGGUUAAGCUUUUGCAGUUUGGGGGGGUGUGUGCUAUAUAUUUACUCUUUGGGGUGUAACUUGAUAGAAAGCAGCAACAGCCUAAUCAAGCGGCGAAACCGAUUGACUGAACUAAUUAAAAGCCUCAUAGUAGCAGUGGGUCAAUACCAGCAAUAUCUCGAGCAUAUUUAAAGAAGAUAAGAGAGUCUCUCUCGACUAAACUUCGGAAGCGAAUCAUGGGGAGCUGUAACAAGAAAUGGUAUAACCAGUUAUGCAGUAAGAACUCAAAAUGGGGCCAUCCGAGGUCUCCGCCCCCCCCCAAAGGCCAAUUAAUGGUGUGUUCUCCAUUGAUACCAAGUUGCAGCAUUAUGGACUUUUUGGUUUGGAGAAAAGGUGACAGGAUAGAAGUUUAUAAAAAUUAUGCGUGGCAUGGAGAAAGUGAAUACAGAAAAGUUCCUCUCCCUCUCUCAUAGCACCAGAACUCACAGACAUCCAGUGAAUGUUGAAAUAUUCAGGACAGAUAAAAGAAGGGACUUCUUCACGCAGUGCAAAGUUAAUCUGUGGAACUCACUCCCACAGGAGCCAGUGAAGGCCAUCCAACUAAAAGAGGGUGGGACUUCACCCUGGAGGCUACAUCGCUUCUGACCAACAGUGACAUGUUCUCUGUUGAGGCCAAGAAUUUGUGGGAGAUUUCACCUGGUACAGCAUGAGACUUUUAAUCUCAGGGUCGUGGGUUCAAGCCUCAACUUUGGCAACAGAUUCCUGCAUUGCAGGGGGUUGGACUAGAUGACCCCUGAGGUCCCUUCCAGCUCUACAGUUCUAUGAAAUUGAUUGCCCUCCUGGGAAAUCACAGCAUUCAAUGACUUAUAAAGGAACCCUAACCAUAAGAACAUAAGAAGAGUGUGUUGGAUCAGGCCAAUGGCCCACCUAGCCCAGCAUCCUGUUCUCACAUCGGCCAACCAGGUGCCUGUGGGAAACACGCAAGCAGGAUUCAAGCACCAGAGCGCUGUCUCUCCUCUCCAGUGGUUUCCAGCAAGUGGUAUUCAGAAGCCUUGCUGCCUCUUAACUGCAGAGACAGAGUGCAGCCAUCCUGGCUAGUAGCCAUUGAUAGCUCUCUCCUCCAGGAAUUGGUCCAGUACAAUAAUCCUGCAAAGCUGAGCCCAUGCAUCAAAAAUUACCCUCAGGGCUUAGUCAUCUGCAAAAGGCAGCUCCGGUGAGUGCUUGGCUAGGGUUUUUCCAGGAAUCUCAAGUGUCUGGCCAAAAUUGCAAUGAGUGGUUGCAGCAGAAUUGGUGCACAAGAAUAUGUUGACAAGCGUGUCUUCAGUACAAGAAUGUUUUCAAGGAGCAAAGGAUUGGCUGUGUCUUAAUGGGCAAGGAGAGGGGGGGAGGGAAAUACCCAAAUCCCUGAGAGUUCAGAAGCCACCCCCCACAGACUUUCAACAAGUAUAAUGAGGUCUAGAAACUUGCUUUGUUGUUGUUUUAAAAAAGGAAACAGAAUUGCAGGGAGCUGUCCCUUGUGCCAAAAACCACAUUUUGCAGGUUUUCUGAUAUACCUACAAAAUAGGAACAAGCCAUGCCUAACACAGGUGGAGGCAAAAGACAGCAGAGGUCACAUCCGCACCAUACAUUGAAAGCACAUGGCUUCCCCCAAGGAAUCCUGGGAAUGGUCAUUUACCCCUCACCGAGCUACAAUUCCCAGCACCCAUCAGAAACUACCGUUCCCACGAUUCUUUGCGGGAGGCCAUGUGCAUUAAAUGCGUGGCUGUGACCAGAGUCUUGGCUUAAUAAGACUGAUCUCUGCUGCUGCAUUCCAGUUCCACUUUCUUUUUAUAAUUCAAACGAGUUAUGCUUUGGGGAGGGAGGGUAGCAAUGGUUUCAACAGCUGCAGAAACCCAUCUGCGGCUCAAAGAAGUGUCAGGAACCGCAAGCCUGUGGAUUAUGUAUGGCCCUUCAGCUCUCUCUAUCUGGCGUUCAGGACUCAUCCUAAAUCAGGGGUCGGCAGCCUAAGGCCCAUGGGCCACAAGCGGCCCAUGGGGGUCGUUUAACUGGCCCAUGGACCCCCGCCGCCUGCGUGCAUGGAGCAGAGUGGGGACCGCCUUCCGUGACGCUGGCCGACUUCCCAUUGGCUGCAGGAAGGUCCUGCAGCCAAUGGGAAGCUGCGCACGACUCCUCUGCACCAGAAAUAGUGUUUGCGCAUGUGCACAUGCACUCCAGCCCACUGCAGCGUGUGCAGGACCACGAACUGGUCCAAGCCACAAAAACUUUGUCGGCCCCUGUCCUAAAUCAUGGCUCC
Podarcis raffonei (Aeolian wall lizard) is the source of this 4448-nucleotide long non-coding RNA. RefSeq lists it as uncharacterized. The record is from RefSeq and is a predicted model, not a curated record. Lineage: Eukaryota; Metazoa; Chordata; Lepidosauria; Squamata; Lacertidae. The transcript has 3 exons.